CCUACGGGAGGCAGCAGUAAGGAAUAUUGGUCAAUGGACGCAAGUCUGAACCAGCCAUGCCGCGUGAAGGAUUAAGGUCCUCUGGAUUGUAAACUUCUUUUAUCUGGGACGAAAAAAGGCGAUUCUUCGUCACUUGACGGUACCAGAUGAAUAAGCACCGGCUAACUCCGUGCCAGCAGCCGCGGUAAUACGGAGGGUGCAAGCGUUAUCCGGAUUCACUGGGUUUAAAGGGUGCGUAGGCGGGCAGGUAAGUCAGUGGUGAAAUCCUAGAGCUUAACUCUAGAACUGCCAUUGAUACUAUCUGUCUUGAAUAUUGUGGAGGUAAGCGGAAUAUGUCAUGUAGCGGUGAAAUGCUUAGAUAUGACAUAGAACACCUAUUGCGAAGGCAGCUUACUACGCAUAUAUUGACGCUGAGGCACGAAAGCGUGGGGAUCAAACAGGAUUAGAUACCCUGGUAGUCCACGCCCUAAACGAUGAUUACUCGACAUUUGUGAUACACUAUAAGUGUUNUGAGACGAAGACAUUAAGUAAUACCACCGUACGGAAGGUACGACCCGACCGAGUUAGUAACGUACGAAAGAAGUUAGUACGGACGUUAGAGACGUUACGACCGACGGACGACGACGAGGGAGGGUAGGGNG
Molecule: ribosomal RNA, 641 nt
Filed under: uncultured bacterium
Lineage: Bacteria
Description: bacterial SSU rRNA
Rfam family: Bacterial small subunit ribosomal RNA (bases 1-538)
Source: RNAcentral